This 253-nucleotide ribosomal RNA is filed under the name uncultured bacterium. RNAcentral describes it as "partial 16S ribosomal RNA". It matches the Rfam family "Bacterial small subunit ribosomal RNA", at positions 524 to 776 of the family's 1533-position model. The record is from RNAcentral.
UACGUAGGGGGCGAGCGUUGUCCGGAGUUACUGGGCGUAAAGGGCAUGCAGGCGGUCUGACACGUUUUGUGUGACAGCGGGUGGCUUAACUACCCGAGGAUACGAAAGACGGUAGGACUUGAGGACUCGAGAGGGACACGGAAUUCCGGGUGGAGUGGUGAAAUGCGUAGAGAUCCGGAGGAACACCGAAGGCGAAGGCAGUGUCCUGGCGAGUGACUGACGCUGAGGUGCGAAAGCCAGGGGAGCGAACGGG